CCUACGGGAGGCAGCAGUGAGGAAUAUUGGUCAAUGGACGAGAGUCUGAACCAGCCAAGUAGCGUGAAGGAUGACUGCCCUAUGGGUUGUAAACUUCUGUUAUAAAGGAAUAAAACGAGGCACGUGUGCCUUUUUGCAUGUACUUUAUGAAUAAGGAGCGGCUAACUCCGUGCCAGCAGCCGCGGUAAUACGGAGGAUCCGAGCGUUAUCCGGAGUUAUUGGGGUUAAAGGGAGCGUAGUUGGGUUGUUAAGUCAGUUGUGAAAGUUUGCGGCUAAACCGUAAAAUUGCAAUUGAUACUGGCAGUCUUUAGUACAGUUGCGGUCGGCGGACUUCGUGGUGUAGCGGUGACAUGCUUAGCUUUCACGA
RNAcentral lists this ribosomal RNA (367 nucleotides) under uncultured bacterium. RNAcentral's name for it is "partial 16S ribosomal RNA". It matches the Rfam family "Bacterial small subunit ribosomal RNA", at positions 338 to 702 of the family's 1533-position model. The record is from RNAcentral.